GGGGAAGUCGUCAGAUUGCAAGAGGAAGCAGAGAGGAAAUUAGUUGUGAAGGUGAACUCCUUCAGGAAGACAGACAAAGCCCUGGGAUCAUCGAGUUCUAAGUUGAGGCGAGUCAAAUAGCGGUUAACAGAUGCUCAUGGUAAGUUAGCUGGUUGGCAAGAGCAAUUGGAUACAUUUUCAGCUUCUAGGAAGGUAAAGGAGGAGGAGAUGGUGGCCGAAUUG
Molecule: long non-coding RNA, 222 nt
Filed under: Lathyrus oleraceus (garden pea)
Lineage: Eukaryota; Viridiplantae; Streptophyta; Magnoliopsida; Fabales; Fabaceae
Description: Pisum sativum (pea) long non-coding RNA (PSAT_LNC006226)
Source: RNAcentral